GCCAGUGUGGUUUAGUGGCUUGAAUAUUGGAUUGCAACUCUGGAGAUCAGGGUUCGAAUUCCUGCUUGGCCA
Non-coding RNA from Phrynosoma platyrhinos (Desert horned lizard), 72 nucleotides. Lineage: Eukaryota; Metazoa; Chordata; Lepidosauria; Squamata; Phrynosomatidae. The record is from the annotation of a GenBank genome assembly.